GUGGGGAAUAUUGGACAAUGGGCGCAAGCCUGAUCCAGCCAUGCCGCGUGUGUGAAGAAGGCCUUUUGGUUGUAAAGCACUUUAAGCGAGGAGGAGGCUCCUUUAGUUAAUACCUAAAGAGAGUGGACGUUACUCGCAGAAUAAGCACCGGCUAACUCUGUGCCAGCAGCCGCGGUAAUACAGAGGGUGCGAGCGUUAAUCGGAUUUACUGGGCGUAAAGCGUGCGUAGGCGGCUUUUUAAGUCGGAUGUGAAAUCCCUGAGCUUAACUUAGGAAUUGCAUUCGAUACUGGAAAGCUAGAGUAUGGGAGAGGAUGGUAGAAUUCCAGGUGUAGCGGUGAAAUGCGUAGAGAUCUGGAGGAAUACCGAUGGCGAAGGCAGCCAUCUGGCCUAAUACUGACGCUGAGGUACGAAAGCAUGGGGAGCAAACAGGAUUAGAUACCCGAGUAGUCC
Molecule: ribosomal RNA, 451 nt
Filed under: uncultured bacterium
Lineage: Bacteria
Description: partial 16S ribosomal RNA
Rfam family: Bacterial small subunit ribosomal RNA
Source: RNAcentral